AUGCGGGGGGCGGAGCCUGGCCCUGCCCGCGCGGGGGCGGGGGGUGAAGAGGACGCGAAAGGGGCCGGGAGGCAGCAGGAGGGCAGGCGACGGGGAGGCGCGGAGAGCCGACCCAACCGCAUCUGCCCGCCCGCCAGGUGCCCCCAGCCCGCGCCUGCCUGCCCGCCCUCCAGGUCCCCCGAGCCCACGCCUGCCUGCCCGCUCUCCAGGUCCCCCGAGCCCGCGGCUGCCCGCUCUCCAGGUCCCCCCAGCCCGCGCCUGCCCGCCCUCCAGGUGCCUCUAGCCCGCGCCUCCCCGCCCGCCAGGUCCCCCCAGCCCGCGCCUGCCCGCUCUCCAGGUCCCUCGAGCCCGCGCCUGCCCGCCCGCCAGGUGCCUCUAGCCCGCGCCUGCCCGCCCUCCAGGUGCCCCCAGCCCGCAUCUGCCCGCCCGCCAGGUCCCACCAGCCCGCGCCCGCCCGCCCGCCAGGUGCCUCUAGCCCGCGCCUGCCCGCCCUCCAGGUGCCCCCAGCCCGCAUCUGCCCGCCCGCCAGGUCCCCCCAGCCCGCGCCUGCCCGCCCGCCAGGUGCCUCUAGCCCGCGCCUGCCCGCUCUCCAGGUCCCCCCAGCCCGCGCCUGCCCGCCCGCCAGGUGCCCCCAACCCGCGCCUGCCUGCCCGCCCGCCAGGUGCCCCCAGCCCGCGCCUGCCCGCCCGCCAGGUGCCCCCAGCCCGCGCCUGCCCGCCCGCCAGGUGCCCCCAGCCCGCGCCUGCCCGCCCGCCAGGUCCCCCCAGCCCGCGCCUGCCCGCCCGCCAGGUGCCUCUAGCCCGCGCCUGCCCGCUCUCCAGGUCCCCCGAGCCCGCGCCGGCCCGCUCUCCAGGUGCCUCUAGCCCGCGCCUGCCCGCCCGCCAGGUGCCCCCAGCCCGCAUCUGCCCGCCCGCCAGGUACCCCCAGCCCGCGCCUGCCCGCCCGCCAGGUGCCCCCAGCCCGCAUCUGCCCGCCCGCCAGGUACCCCCAGCCCGUGCCUGCCCGGUCUCCAGGUCCUCCCAGCCCGCGCCUGCCCGCCUGCCAGGUCCCCCAACUCGCACCUGCCCUCCCGUCAGGUGCCCUCAGCCCGCGGCCGCCCGCCCUCUAGGUCCCUCCAGCCCGCAUCUGCCCGCCCGCCAGGUCCCCCAGCCCGUCCGCGCUCCGGCCCCCAGCGGGCGCCUCUCCCGCGCUCCGCACAGUGCGGUCCCGGGAGGCAGGGCCCCCGCCACGCGCCUCACGCUGCCCGCCGGCCCCCGUGCCCCGCCCGCCCGUCCGCGGUCCUCCACCCGCACCGCCCCCGGGCGCUGA
RNAcentral lists this long non-coding RNA (1308 nucleotides) under Canis lupus familiaris (dog). Its description in RNAcentral is "lncRNA (ENSCAFG00030015894.1)". The record is from RNAcentral. Lineage: Eukaryota; Metazoa; Chordata; Mammalia; Carnivora; Canidae.